GCUUGAACAGGUGCUGCAUGGCUGUCGUCAGCUCGUGUCGUGAGAUGUUCGGUUAAGUCCGCUAACGAGCGCAACCCUCGCUGUGUGUUACAAGUGUCACACGGAACUGCCGGUCAUAAACCGGAGGAAGGUGGGGAUGACGUCAAGUCAGCAUGGCCUUUAUAUCCUGGGCUACACACACGCUACAAUGGGAAGGGACAAUAGGUUGCGAAACCGCGAGGUGGAGCCAAUCCAAGCAAAACUUCCCUCAGUUCAGAUUGCAGGCUGCAACUCGCCUGCAUGAAGUUGGAGUUGCUAGUAAACGCAGGUCAGCCAUACUGCGUUGAAUACGUUCCCGGGGCUU
This 343-nucleotide ribosomal RNA is filed under the name uncultured Anaerolineaceae bacterium. RNAcentral describes it as "bacterial SSU rRNA". It matches the Rfam family "Bacterial small subunit ribosomal RNA", at positions 1028 to 1382 of the family's 1533-position model. The record is from RNAcentral. Lineage: Bacteria; Bacillati; Chloroflexota; Anaerolineae; Anaerolineales; Anaerolineaceae.